UACGAGAGGCCCAAACGUUAUUCGGAUUUACUGGGCUUAAAGAGUUCGUAGGCGGCGCAGAAAGUAGGGUGUGAAAGCCCUCGGCUCAACCGAGGAAUUGCGCCCUAAACUACUGUGCUUGAGGAACCUAGAGGUGAGCGGAACUGAUGGUGUAGCGGUGAAAUGCGUAGAUAUCUGGAGGAACACCGGUGGCGAAGGCGGCAUCCUGGACCGGUAUUGACGCUGAGGCGCGAAAGCCAGGGGAGCAAACGGG
Molecule: ribosomal RNA, 253 nt
Filed under: uncultured bacterium
Lineage: Bacteria
Description: partial 16S ribosomal RNA
Rfam family: Bacterial small subunit ribosomal RNA
Source: RNAcentral